This 453-nucleotide long non-coding RNA is filed under the name Cyanistes caeruleus (blue tit). RNAcentral's name for it is "lncRNA (ENSCCEG00000018614.1)". The record is from RNAcentral. Lineage: Eukaryota; Metazoa; Chordata; Aves; Passeriformes; Paridae.
CUGGGGACUAGCAGCCUUGAUAUCAUCCAACAUUGAGCAUAUGUGGGGUGUCAGCCUCACACCAGGACUGAUAUAUAUUGAUCCUGACAAUUGUCUCAUCCCUGGCUCUUAUUGUGCUCGUAAUGAUCUGAGGAUUCUUUGUCUCCAUUGUAAGUGGCAAAUUAUGACACCUUCUGUGCUGAAACUGCUGAGUUGCUGGCAGAUUGUUUCUGAGAUAAAAUACUCCUGAGAGCAAAAUGGCAGCUAGUUAGAGCUGCAUGGAACAAUAUAAUGUCAAAUCUGAGGACUUGUAAUGGGUUCAGACAGCACCUACAACAAUGAACCUGUUAGAAAAAAAAAAUGACAGUGAGAAUUGACUCUGGAUGCAUCAAAUGAUAUUCAGAUGGAGACUCCCAUAAAAUGCAGAUUCCUUCAGAAAAAAGACAUCUAGAAGUGUCCACUGGAAUUUUUUUU